GGCUCCAUCACCUGCUCUUGUUCAAGAUGGAUUACUGAUUCUGAAGAAUGAAUAGAAUUGUGAAGAGGUGGCUGCGGUCUUGAGUGCUUUGUAUAAUACACACCAAGAGUAUUACUGAUAACUAUACUGGAUGAUUGAUGUAUUUAUAUGAGUCCAUGGCAGGUGCUGUUUUAUGGUCUAGGCAAACAUAUUUGUAAAUAUUGGUAACAAAGCAGUUUUGGGGCUUCAGUUGGAUUGGAAUGGCUGAUGAAUUUUUUCGGCAGUGGGGAGUGCCCAAAGUAGGAAAUGGAGGGCAUGCAAAUCAAUCAAAGUGAGUAUUGAUAUUACUUCCUAUUUUGAUACCCAAAUGGAAAAUGCAUGUUUGCAAAUCAAUCAGGGCAGUUGUAGAUGUCCGUUCUUGUUUCUGCUGGUGAUGAACUCUGUAUGAAUUUCAGCUUCCAUCUAACAGUUUCAAUUUAAGAUUAGCAAAAGUUUUACAAGAAUGCUUCUUUAUUUCAUCAGGGAGAAGAAAGGAAGUUCUGAAAUGCACAAAACCAAUGUGGAAAUAGCCGUUGCAUUAGCUAAAAAUAUUCACCCGCUCUAGCAAUCUCAAUAUUUAGACGAUGAAGCUUUCAGGUUUUGACCCUUUUUCUUUGUAUUUGUUGAACCCUAUGAGCUUCAUUCAAUUGCCUACUUUCAAAGCCGCUUCAUCUUGGUUAUUGCUUAUCCUACUUGUGUAGAGCAUUUAAGAAAUUGUAUUCUGAUCUUCAGUAGAAAAGUUUCGAUAUUUUUUCAGUGUGCU
Long non-coding RNA from Magnolia sinica, 781 nucleotides. RefSeq lists it as uncharacterized. The record is from RefSeq and is a predicted model, not a curated record. The transcript has 2 exons. NCBI's taxonomy places the organism in Eukaryota, Viridiplantae, Streptophyta, Magnoliopsida, Magnoliales, Magnoliaceae.